This 232-nucleotide non-coding RNA is filed under the name Streptomyces sp. CB01249. Its description in RNAcentral is "Streptomyces sRNA 4677". It matches the Rfam family "Streptomyces sRNA 4677". From Rfam's summary of the family: Located in the intergenic region between anti-sigma factor SCO4677 gene and a putative regulatory protein gene SCO4676. scr4677 expression requires the SCO4677 activity and scr4677 sRNA itself seem to affect the levels of the SCO4676-associated transcripts. Lineage: Bacteria; Bacillati; Actinomycetota; Actinomycetes; Kitasatosporales; Streptomycetaceae. The record is from Rfam by way of RNAcentral.
CUUCGCGUCGCAAAAAGGCCUUUAAAGAACCUGGGAAAGAACCGGACCAAACCCCACCCCACCCCGUCUUGACCUGCAUCACUCGCGCGAGUGAACUCGGGCAACUGGGCUGGAUUCGGGCCGGGUUCGCUGGCAUAUGCUCGCCGCGACAACACCACAGAACGUGACGGCCCCCGGCGAGACGCCAAUCUCCACCGAGGGCCUGACCAACACGGAAGAAGCAGACUUCCUG